RNAcentral lists this ribosomal RNA (363 nucleotides) under Triticum aestivum (bread wheat). Its description in RNAcentral is "partial small subunit ribosomal RNA". The record is from RNAcentral. Lineage: Eukaryota; Viridiplantae; Streptophyta; Magnoliopsida; Poales; Poaceae.
AUGUAUUUUGAAGAUCAUGAAAGUAUGGAAACAAAGAUAAAUCACCUAAGGACCCAUCAUGGUAUGGAUUUUGAUGUAAAUCUAUACAAUUCUGAGAGCGUAACCCAUUUUGGUUGUCCGAAUUGGGAAGCACUUUUCAAGACGUAUGAUUUUCAUGAGGGUAUGCUUGUCACCAUGGAUGUUGGUGAUCCUGACAUCGCCCAAGACAGUAUGGACAUUUGGGUCCUUGUUGAUACGCUUCCAAUUCUACUGCUGUCUUAUUUUAAUUCUUCAAAGAAUGUUCGGAAGAUGGUAGACAGAACCUACUACACCGAUGGCUCUAACUUAUCAGGAGAAAAAUCAUCUGAUCUCAUUUAUUACUGA